This 68-nucleotide transfer RNA is filed under the name Marmota monax (woodchuck). Its description in RNAcentral is "tRNA.Ala". The record is from RNAcentral. Lineage: Eukaryota; Metazoa; Chordata; Mammalia; Rodentia; Sciuridae.
GUUGUGGCUCAGUGAUAGAGUGCUUGCCUAGCACACGUGAGGCCCUGGGUUUGAUCCUCAGCACGACA